ACAAAUACUAAAUGUGUUCAUCACACAAACCCUAGUAGCAAAUCCUGAGAACCCUAUAGUUUUCUAUCUCCUCUUUCUUUACUUUAGAACCCUAACUGCUGACUCCAAAUCUUCAUUUUACUUCAAGAAUUUCAGUAAAGGAUACAGGGGUAUAUAUGCAGUAAACAUAGUUUUUUCUUUCUUUUUCUAUCUAAAACCACUUUCUCCCUCUUAAGUUCCAUCUUCCCGAGCUUUGUUGGAUCAUUAAUUACUUAUAUAACAAUAACAACAAUCUUCUCCAAGAACGAAAAAAUCAAUGUCACUCUCAUUCAUAUACAUGUAAGUACUUGUUUUCUGUAUCUACGUAUACCCUUUUUAGUGCUUAAUUUUUUCUCUCUUUUUUGUUUCAUUGAUUUAUAUAAAGUGUAGAUCCGUACCUUUUUCUUUUCUUUUAUUUUCUUUUUAUUACUUUACCUUUGGCAAGCUCCUAUUAUGGACUCUAUUGUUGUUUCUUGGUUUAAUCGACUCAUUUAUUGACAUUUCAACUUUUAUUGGUACAGGAAUUUCUUGAUUCCAAGAAGCAGCUGAGAUUUUAUUGAGGUUUAAGAAGGAUCUAUUUGAAAUAUUACUGUUGUCAAAUUAGAUUCUUAGUUUAAGCCAUUGCUAUAAACAAAGCCAUCAAAGAUAAUUGAGUUAGUUGUUAGUUUGAUUUCUUUUCUUUUUUUUGUUGUUGAGAGAAAUAGAGUUCAAAAAAGUGAAAAGAGAGGAGGGAGUUUAUAAACAACAGCUUUGAGAUUCAUAGGUUUGGUUAAACUUAUGUGAUAUAAGAAGAGAGAAGAGGAAAAUGUUAAUUCUAGGUUUGGUAGUUUAAGUGGAGGGAUGAGAUAUUUUGUUGGGCAUGUUCUACCUAAAGGGAUGGGAACUUUAACUUUAGUUUCUCCGAUUGUCAAACUUAUCGAACGUAGGUUUCUUUUAAGAUUUUUUUAAGGCAAGAUGUUUUGAGAUGACAUAUAACAUAUUUUUUAUUUUUUUCGGUUUAAGUGUGAAGGCUGCAGUAUUAGUCUUUUCAUAUGAUGUAAU
This 1059-nucleotide long non-coding RNA is filed under the name Panax ginseng (ginseng). Its description in RNAcentral is "long non-coding RNA (PGIN_LNC017132)". Lineage: Eukaryota; Viridiplantae; Streptophyta; Magnoliopsida; Apiales; Araliaceae. The record is from RNAcentral.